This 253-nucleotide ribosomal RNA is filed under the name uncultured bacterium. RNAcentral's name for it is "partial 16S ribosomal RNA". It matches the Rfam family "Bacterial small subunit ribosomal RNA", at positions 524 to 776 of the family's 1533-position model. The record is from RNAcentral.
UACGUAGGGUGCAAGCGUUGUCCGGAAUCACUGGGCGUAAAGGGCGCGUAGGCGGCGCGGUAAGCGUGCGGUGAAAGCCCGGGGCUCAACCCCGGGUCGGCCGUGCGGACUGCCGGGCUGGAGCACUGUAGAGGCAGGUGGAAUUCCGGGUGUAGCGGUGGAAUGCGUAGAGAUCCGGAGGAACACCAGCGGCGAAGGCGGCAUCCUGGACUGGUCCUGACACUCAUGAGCGAAAGCGUGGGGAGCGAUCCGG